GAUUAACGCUGGCGGCGUGCAUAACACAUGCAAGUCGAACGAUGAAACUCAUUAGAUUUCUUCGGAAUGAAAAUGAAUGGAUUAGUGGCGAACGGGUGAGUAACGCGUGAGUAACCUGCCUUACACAAGGGGAUAGCCUCUCGAAACGGAGAAUAAUACCCUAUGAAACCAGACAAUCGCAUGAUAAUCUGGUCAAAAUGUUUAGUGGUGUAAGAUGGACUUGCGUCUGAUUAGCUAGUUGGUGAGAUAAAAGCUCACCAAGGCAACGAUCAGUAGCCGGCUUGAGAGAGUGUACGGCCACAUUGGGACUGAGACACGGCCCAGACUCCUACGGGAGGCAGCAGUGGGGAAUUUUGCACAAUGGGGGAAACCCUGAUGCAGCGACGCCGCGUGAUUUAGAAGGCCUUCGGGUUGUAAAAAUCUUUUGUAUAGGAAGAAAAUGACAGUACUAUACGAAUAAGGUCCGGCUAAUUACGUG
RNAcentral lists this ribosomal RNA (478 nucleotides) under uncultured bacterium. RNAcentral's name for it is "partial 16S ribosomal RNA". It matches the Rfam family "Bacterial small subunit ribosomal RNA", at positions 28 to 507 of the family's 1533-position model. The record is from RNAcentral.